CCACCUUCAACCAUUCUCACUCCAGCCCACUUCAUCUUCUUCCUACAAUGCAAAUCGCUACUUACGCGCCACCCUAAUCACCUCAUAUCUUCAUCUUCUUCUACAAAACAAUUUCCCAUCUCUGUAAAUCGAAAUCUGCAAAACAAACCCAAAAUUCAGAUUCUGAAAAUUAGAUGUUGGAAAGGCGAAAUAAAGAAUGGCAUCAACAGCUGCUUCUUUGGGUUCGUAAACUUUAUUCUGUCAAUUGGUGGUCCUAAACUUCAAAAAUCUUCUGUUUCUAAUCCUAGUUCACUCACUUUUACGAGGUAUAUAGAGGUUGCUACGUCUGUCUUGGGUAAUUUCUUUUCUAUUGUUCGGAUAAACUUUUGGUUCUUGAUUCUUGGAAUUUUGUUCUGAAAGUCAAUUUAACAAAGUGUUUGAAGUUUUACCAAAAGAGUCUUGAAUUGUUUGAUAGUUAAUUAAAUGUAUGACAUAAUAACUGAGAUUAGAAGUACUUUUCUUUAGGUAUUAGGAUAUUGAUAGGCAUACUUUGGUAACUAGUCCUGUUUGACCCCCAUUAAGUUACAUUCUAUUUUUCUCUCUCUUAUUUUUAGCUACACAAUUUUUCAUAAAAUAAUAUUAAAAGUAACUUUCUUUUUCAACAAGUUAUUAAAAAAAAAAAAACACUAUUACACCCAUUAUCAUUUUCAAAAAAGGGGCCAAAUAGAGGUAUAGUUUGUGAAUUUGCAUAUGCUAUAAUACGAAAGAAGUUAACUUUUUGGUAUUUAUUAGAUAUUUCUGCCCUAUUUGAGUCGCAUUCUUUGAAAAAAAAUACAUUUUUAAACAGUGAUUUGACAUUAUUUUAAUUACACAUUCUUUAAUAAAGUAAUAUUACAUAUAAAUUCAAAAAAUUUCUUUAUUUUUUAACAACAUAUUCUCCAUCAAUUUACAAUUCUAAAAACACACUUGUCAAGUACAUAUAUAUAUAUAUAUUUUUAAAUAUCUUAAUAUGAAUUAGUUUUCAGCUCCCUUCAAUGAAGGUGGAGGCGGUGAUGUAAGCGGGGAAGAAGGUGAACUGGGGUGGAGUGGGUAUGAUUGAAUGUGGGGAAGGAGAUGAAAUGAAAUGGGUUAAAAUGGGAUGGGAUGGGGAGGAAACUAAAGUUUUAAAGUUUUGGGAUUGUAAAUGGCACAUAUAAAAAAUUUGGUAUUAAUUUGUAAAAAAAUAAAAAGUUAGGGUAAUGCAACUGCAAUUAUUUCUUUUCUAAUUUUGGAAUUUUUGUUUUACCGUUUUUAACUUUUGAAAUAACGGAUCUUGAUGACGGGGUAUUUUGAACAAAAGGUUUUAAACCGGGAUCCUUUCUACGAUUUUCAAUAGGUAGAAAUUACAUGGUACAUGGACAAGUUUGUAGGUAAUAUCCUACUAUUAAUCCUUUAUUCAAACAUUCAGGUAAUGUACAAUAAGUUAAUUUUCAAAAUAUUUUAUUCACUAAUCUUGUUGAUCUCGUUUUCAGCUGGGGCUACGCGAACAACAGAUAUCGGACUUACCGUGCACACGGAAGCCUAGUCCAGCACGCUAAGACGUGCAAAUGGCUUGGAACGGUCUGAUGAAGGGCAUGGGAACGGCUCAAAGGCGCGGGACAGCAAUAUUCGGAAUUCGAC
This 1638-nucleotide long non-coding RNA is filed under the name Olea europaea (common olive). RNAcentral's name for it is "long non-coding RNA (OEUR_LNC007187)". The record is from RNAcentral. Lineage: Eukaryota; Viridiplantae; Streptophyta; Magnoliopsida; Lamiales; Oleaceae.